This 497-nucleotide ribosomal RNA is filed under the name uncultured bacterium. RNAcentral's name for it is "partial 16S ribosomal RNA". It matches the Rfam family "Bacterial small subunit ribosomal RNA", at positions 28 to 507 of the family's 1533-position model. The record is from RNAcentral.
GACGAACGCUGGCGGCGUGCCUAAUACAUGCAAGUUGAGCGAUGAAGAUUGGUGCUUGCACCAAUUUGAAGAGCAGCGAACGGGUGAGUAACGCGUGGGGAAUCUGCCUUUGAGCGGGGGACAACAUUUGGAAACGAAUGCUAAUACCGCAUAACAACUUUAAACAUAAGUUUUAAGUUUGAAAGAUGCAAUUGCAUCACUCAAAGAUGAUCCCGCGUUGUAUUAGCUAGUUGGUGAGGUAAAGGCUCACCAAGGCGAUGAUACAUAGCCGACCUGAGAGGGUGAUCGGCCACAAUGGGACUGAGACACGGCCCAGACUCCUACGGGAGGGAGCAGUAGGGAAUCUUCGGCAAUGGAGGAAAUUCUGACCGAGCACCGCCGCGUAAGUGAAGAAGGUCUUCGGAUCGUAAAACUCUGUUGGUAGAGAAGAACGUUGGUGAGAGUGGAAAGCUCAUCAAGUGACGGUAACUACCCAGAAAGGGACGGCUAACUACGUG